UACGGGGGGGGCAAGCGUUGUUCGGAAUUACUGGGCGUAAAGGGCUCGUAGGCGGCCAACUAAGUCAGACGUGAAAUCCCUCGGCUUAACCGGGGAACUGCAUCUGAUACUGGAUGGCUCGAGUUUGGGAGAGGGAUGCGGAAUUCCAGGUGUAGCGGUGAAAUGCGUAGAUAUCUGGAGGAACACCGGUGGCGAAGGCGGCAUCCUGGACCAACACUGACGCUGAUGCUCGAAAGCGUGGGGAGCAAACAGG
This 253-nucleotide ribosomal RNA is filed under the name uncultured bacterium. RNAcentral's name for it is "partial 16S ribosomal RNA". It matches the Rfam family "Bacterial small subunit ribosomal RNA", at positions 524 to 776 of the family's 1533-position model. The record is from RNAcentral.